Molecule: long non-coding RNA, 209 nt
Filed under: Capsicum annuum
Lineage: Eukaryota; Viridiplantae; Streptophyta; Magnoliopsida; Solanales; Solanaceae
Description: long non-coding RNA (CANN_LNC002495)
Source: RNAcentral
GGCAGAAUCAAUAUUCUAAAUCUAUGUAAAGCAUUACUCAAAAAUAUUGAAUACAUGUAUAAAAAGAGAAAUUUGAUAAAAAAAAUUACUCUUAGCUGGAUUGAAUUUCGGAGAAAAGUUGAAUCUUGGUGGGAAAAUUUACGUACAUGAAAAAACCCCAUUGAGUUUUUUUUUAUAUGUAAAAGAUCACCGACUUGUUUAUUUUCCUA